CUCUUGACUGUCUCAACUGUAGACUCGGUGAAAUCCUGGUGAGGGUGAAGACGCCCUCUUGGCGUGAUUGGACGGAAAGACCCCAUGAAGCUUUACUGUAGCUUAAUAUUGGGAAAUUUUAUUACUUGUAGAGCAUAGGUAGGAGACUGUGAAGUAUACUCGCUAGGGUAUAUGGAGUCAACGUUGGAAUACUACCCUUGUGAUAAGAUUUCUCUAACCUGCAGCCAUGA
RNAcentral lists this ribosomal RNA (230 nucleotides) under Ureaplasma parvum serovar 3. RNAcentral describes it as "partial 23S ribosomal RNA". It matches the Rfam family "Bacterial large subunit ribosomal RNA", at positions 2009 to 2238 of the family's 2925-position model. Lineage: Bacteria; Bacillati; Mycoplasmatota; Mycoplasmoidales; Mycoplasmoidaceae. The record is from RNAcentral.